This 1387-nucleotide ribosomal RNA is filed under the name Xylodon asperus. RNAcentral describes it as "partial 28S ribosomal RNA". It matches the Rfam family "Eukaryotic large subunit ribosomal RNA", at positions 1 to 1373 of the family's 3401-position model. Lineage: Eukaryota; Fungi; Basidiomycota; Agaricomycetes; Hymenochaetales; Schizoporaceae. The record is from RNAcentral.
UCAGACCUCAAUCAGGCAGGACUACCCGCUGAACUUAAGCAUAUCAAUAAGCGGAGGAAAAGAAACUAACAAGGAUUCCCCUAGUAACUGCGAGUGAAGYGGGAAGAGCUCAAMUUUAAAAUCUGGCAGUCUUGCUGUCCGAGUUGUAAUCUGGAGAAGCAUUUUCCGCGUCAGACCGUGUACAAGUCUCUUGGAAUAGAGCGUCAUUGAGGGUGAUAAUCCCGUUCAUGACACGGACUACUGAUGCUUUGUGAUAUGCUUUCAAAGAGUCGAGUUGUUUGGGAAUGCAGCUCAAAUUGGGUGGUAAGUUCCAUCUAAAGCUAAAUAUUGGCGAGAGACCGAUAGCGAACAAGUACCGUGAGGGAAAGAUGAAAAGCACUUUGAAAAGAGAGUUAAACAGUACGUGAAAUUGUUGAAAGGGAAACGCUUGAAGUCAKUCGCKUUGAUUGAGACUCASCUUGCUGKGCUGGGUGUACUUCUCAUUUGACGGGUCAACAUCAAUUUUGGUUGAUGGAUAAAGGUGAGGGGAAUGUGGCACCUUCGGGUGUGUUAUAGCCCCUUGCUGCAUACAUUGACUGGGAUUGAGGAACGCAGCACGCCUUCAUGGCGGAGGGUUCGCCCUACGUAACGUGCUUAGGAUGUUGGCAUAAUGGCUUUAAGCGACCCGUCUUGAAACACGGACCAAGGAGUCUAACAUGCUUGCGAGUGUUAGGGUGGAAAACCCUUGCGCGUAAUUAAAGUGAAAGUUGGGACCCUCUCAAGGGGCACCGACGCCCGGCCCUGAAGUUUACUGACGGUGCUGCGGUAGAGCACGUAUGUUGGGACCCGAAAGAUGGUGAACUAUGCCUGAAUAGGGUGAAGCCAGGGGAAACCCUGGUGGAGGCUCGUAGCGAUUCUGACGUGCAAAUCGAUCGUCAAAUUUGGGUAUAGGGGCGAAAGACUAAUCGAACCAUCUAGUAGCUGGGUUCCUGCCGAAGUUUCCCUCAGGAUAGCAGARACUCAUAUCAGAUUUAUGUGGUAAAGCGAAUGAUUAGAGGCCUUGGGGUUGAAACAACCUUAACCUAUUCUCAAACUUUAAAUAUGUAAGAACAMGCCGUCUCUUAGUUGGACCGCUUGACGAUUGAGAGUUUCUAGUGGGCCAUUUUUUGGGUAAGCAGAACUGGCGAUGCGGGAUGCAACCGAACGUGAKGUUAAGGUGCCGGAAUGCACGCUCAUCAGACACCACAAAAGGGUGGUUAGAUUCAUUUUAGACAGCACGACGGGUGGGCCAUCGAAGUCGGGACCCGCCUAAGGAGUGUGUAACAACUCACCUGCCGAAUGAACUAGCCCUGAAAUGGAUGGCGGCCAACGUGCUACCCAUAACUCACGUCAGGGUGAARUGAUGCGU